This 251-nucleotide ribosomal RNA is filed under the name uncultured bacterium. RNAcentral's name for it is "partial 16S ribosomal RNA". It matches the Rfam family "Bacterial small subunit ribosomal RNA", at positions 524 to 776 of the family's 1533-position model. The record is from RNAcentral.
GACAGAGGUCUCGAGCGUUAGGCGGAAUCACUGGGCUUAAAGCGUGUGUAGGCGGACUUGUAAGUACCUUGUGAAAUCCCACGGCUCAACCGUGGAACUGCUUGGUAUACUGGGAUGUCUUGAGCCAUCUAGGGGCUACCGGAACAAAUGGUGGAGCGGUGAAAUGCGUAGAUAUCAUUUGGAACGCCAAUGGUGAAAACGGUAGCUGGGGAUGUGCUGACGCUGAGACAGAAAGCCAGGGAGCGAACGGG